AGGGAGGCUCCGGAUGCCAGAGCCGCGGCCGCUGCAGCCGCCACCGCCGCGAGAAGCGCCGCUGGGAAGCCCGGGUCGCGAGGGGCCGGAAGGUGCCGCGUGCGCUGCCGCGCGCUGAGCGCCCUCCUGAGCGCCGUGUGAGGUCCUGAUUGCCUGGACUUCUCUUCUCCAGAGUUAAAGACACAAAGCCCGAAAGGCCCCUCAGGUUCCUUGGAGCUACUGUGAAUGUAUGUUCUCUGAAUCAUAUCUGAGGUCCUUAUCUCAGGCCUGGCAAUCCUGGUCAUUUGAUGCUCAAUGGGAACAGUCCUGCUUUCCAGAGUCUGCCCAGACA
Molecule: long non-coding RNA, 331 nt
Filed under: Cricetulus griseus (Chinese hamster)
Lineage: Eukaryota; Metazoa; Chordata; Mammalia; Rodentia; Cricetidae
Description: lncRNA (ENSCGRG00015033323.1)
Source: RNAcentral